This 482-nucleotide ribosomal RNA is filed under the name uncultured bacterium. Its description in RNAcentral is "partial 16S ribosomal RNA". It matches the Rfam family "Bacterial small subunit ribosomal RNA", at positions 899 to 1397 of the family's 1533-position model. The record is from RNAcentral.
ACUCAAAUGAAUUGACGGGGGCCCGCACAAGCGGCGGAGCGUGCGGUUUAAUUCGACGCGACGCGCAGAACCUUACCCGGGCUUGAAACGCCCCUGCAGAGCCGCGAAAGCGGUUGGCCUUCGAGGGUGGGGCACAGGUGCUGCAUGGCUGUCGUCAGCUCGUGCCGUGAGGUGUUGGGUUAAGUCCCGCAACGAGCGCAACCCCCGCCGCCAGUUGCAGCCGUGUCUGGCGGGACGGCCCCGCGAGGGGAGGAAGGAGGGGAUGAUGUCAAGUCAGCAUGGCCCUGACGUCCGGGGCGACACGCACGCUACAAUGGCCGGGACAACGGGUCGCCAAGGCGCGAGCCGGAGCCAAUCCCCCAAACCCGGUCUCAGUUCGGAUCGGGGGCUGCAACCCGCCCCCGUGAAGGCGGAGUCGCUAGUAACCGCGGGUCAGCACUACCGCGGUGAAUGUGUUCCCGGGCCUUGCACACACCGCCCGU